Molecule: small nucleolar RNA, 131 nt
Filed under: Caenorhabditis remanei
Lineage: Eukaryota; Metazoa; Nematoda; Chromadorea; Rhabditida; Rhabditidae
Description: Caenorhabditis snoRNA ceN80
Rfam family: Caenorhabditis snoRNA ceN80
Source: Rfam by way of RNAcentral
AUGCAUCGAAAAGGGACGGGCUUUCUGUGUGAAUUGUUCCGUAUAAUUUUGAUGCAAUAAAAUAGAGAAGUGCAGUGUUACUCUUCAUCACGUAUUCUGUGAACGGAGAGUGUCAAGCGCUUCCCACAAUA